AGUGAACGCUGGCGGUAGGCCUAACACAUGCAAGUCGAACGGCAGCACAGUAAGAGCUUGCUCUUACGGGUGGCGAGUGGCGGACGGGUGAGGAAUACAUCGGAAUCUACUUUUUCGUGGGGGAUAACGUAGGGAAACUUACGCUAAUACCGCAUACGACCUACGGGUGAAAGCAGGGGAUCUUCGGACCUUGCGCGAUUGAAUGAGCCGAUGUCGGAUUAGCUAGUUGGCGGGGUAAAGGCCCACCAAGGCGACGAUCCGUAGCUGGUCUGAGAGGAUGAUCAGCCACACUGGAACUGAGACACGGUCCAGACUCCUACGGGAGGCAGCAGUGGGGAAUAUUGGACAGUGGGCGCAAGCCUGAUCCAGCCAUACCGCGUGGGUGAAGAAGGCCUUCGGGUUGUAAAGCCCUUUUGUUGGGAAAGAAAAGCAGCAGGUUAAUACCCCGCUGUUCUGACGGUACCCAAAGAAUAAGCACGGCUAACUUCGUG
This 491-nucleotide ribosomal RNA is filed under the name uncultured bacterium. Its description in RNAcentral is "partial 16S ribosomal RNA". It matches the Rfam family "Bacterial small subunit ribosomal RNA", at positions 29 to 507 of the family's 1533-position model. The record is from RNAcentral.